This 692-nucleotide ribosomal RNA is filed under the name Cunninghamella elegans. Its description in RNAcentral is "eukaryotic LSU rRNA". It matches the Rfam family "Eukaryotic large subunit ribosomal RNA", at positions 34 to 631 of the family's 3401-position model. Lineage: Eukaryota; Fungi; Mucoromycota; Mucoromycetes; Mucorales; Cunninghamellaceae. The record is from RNAcentral.
UUAAGCAUAUCAAUAAGCGGAGGAAAAGAAAAUAACAAUGAUUCCCUCAGUAACGGCGAGUGAACAGGGAAAAGCUCAAAGUUGGAACCUGGUGGGCCUAGCCUACCCGGAUUGUAAACUAAAGUUUUUGGGUCGUUUAGUCAGCCAGAUAAAUAAGUCCUCUGGAAAGGGGCGACAUAGAGGGUGAAAUCCCCGUCUUUGGUCUGAGCAUGAUUAGGCGUUUGGCCUGGAAACGAAGAGUCAGGUUGUUUGGGAAUGCAGCCUAAAAUGGGAGGUAAAUCUCUCCUAAAGCUAAAUAUUGACGAAAGACCGAUAGCGAACAAGUACCGUGAGGGAAAGAUGAAAAGCACUUUGAAAAGAGGGUCAAAAAGUACGUGAAAUUGCUGAAAGGGAACCGUAUAAAAUCAGACUUACUGGUAGGUAAUCAACCUUCCUCUCGGGGAGGGUGCACUUGCCUGCUAUUGUAUGCCAGCAAUACUUUGGUUGGGAGGAAAAAAGUAGGAGAAAUGUAGCCUGGGUUUCGGCUUAGGUGUUAUAGUCUCUUGCAAAAUACUCUCGGCUGGAGUAAGGAACGCAGCAAACCGUAAGGCGAAGAUUUUGGGCGCUUGGAGUUAAUAGUUGGAGAAUUUCUGCUUCGGGUGGUGCUUCAGCUAUUGAUUUUAACUCGCUUAAAGUUCUUUUAAUUGCUUAGG